Molecule: ribosomal RNA, 443 nt
Filed under: uncultured bacterium
Lineage: Bacteria
Description: partial 16S ribosomal RNA
Rfam family: Bacterial small subunit ribosomal RNA
Source: RNAcentral
CCUACGGGAGGCAGCAGUGGGGAAUAUUGCACAAUGGGCGAAAGCCUGAUGCAGCAACGCCGCGUGAAGGAAGAAGGGUCUCGGCUCGUAAACUUCUAUCAACAGGGACGAAAGAAAUGACGGUACCUGAAUAAGACGCCCCGGCGUACCCCGUGCCAGCAGCCGCGGUAAUAUGGAGGGGGCAAGCGUUAUCCGGAAUUACUGGGUGUAAAGGGUGCGUCGGGGGCAUGGUAAGGCAGAUGUUAAAGCCUUGGGCUUAAACCGAGGAUUGCAUUUGAAACUAUCAAGCUAGAGUGCAGGAGAGGAAAGCGGAAUUCCUAGUGUAGCGGUGAAAUGCGUAGAUAUUAGGAAGAACACCAGUGGCGAAGGCGGCUUUCUGGACUGAAACUGACGCUGAGGCACGAAAGCGUGGGGAGCGAACAGGAUUAGAUACCCUAGUAGUC